AGUGAACGCUGGCGGUAGGCCUAACACAUGCAAGUCGAACGGCAGCACAGUAAGAGCUUGCUCUUACGGGUGGCGAGUGGCGGACGGGUGAUGAAUACAUCGGAAUCUACUUUUUCGUGGGGGAUAACGUAGGGAAACUUACGCUAAUACCGCAUACGACCUACGGGUGAAAUCAUGGGAUCUUCGGACCUUGCGCGAUUGAAUGAGCCGAUGUCGGAUUAGCUAGUUGGCGGGGUAAAGGCCCACCAAGGCGACGAUCCGUAGCUGGUCUGAGAGGAUGAUCAGCCACACUGGAACUGAGACACGGUCCAGACUCCUACGGGAGGCAGCAGUGGGGAAUAUUGGACAAUGGGCGAAAGCCUGAUCCAGCCAUACCGCGUGGGUGAAGAAGGCCUUCGGGUUGUAAAGCCCUUUUGUUGGGAAAGAAAAGCAGCAGGUUAAUACCCCGCUGUUCUGACGGUACCCAAAGAAUAAGCACCGGCUAACUUCGUG
This 492-nucleotide ribosomal RNA is filed under the name uncultured bacterium. Its description in RNAcentral is "partial 16S ribosomal RNA". It matches the Rfam family "Bacterial small subunit ribosomal RNA", at positions 29 to 507 of the family's 1533-position model. The record is from RNAcentral.